UACGUAGGAGGCAAGCGUUGUCCGGAGUUACUGGGCGUAAAGCGCACGCAGGCGGUCGCAUCAGUCUGGGGUGACAGUUCCCGGCCUAACCGGGAAAGUGCUCUGGAAACUGUGCGACUUGAGGGCUUCAGAGGGAUGUGGAAUUCCAGGUGUAGCGGUGAAAUGCGUAGAUAUCUGGAGGAACACCGGUGGCGAAGGCGGCAUCCUGGACCGGUAUUGACGCUGAGGCGCGAAAGCUAGGGGAGCAAACGGG
RNAcentral lists this ribosomal RNA (253 nucleotides) under uncultured bacterium. Its description in RNAcentral is "partial 16S ribosomal RNA". It matches the Rfam family "Bacterial small subunit ribosomal RNA", at positions 524 to 776 of the family's 1533-position model. The record is from RNAcentral.